RNAcentral lists this long non-coding RNA (1625 nucleotides) under Cucumis sativus (cucumber). RNAcentral describes it as "long non-coding RNA (CSAT_LNC001818)". The record is from RNAcentral. Lineage: Eukaryota; Viridiplantae; Streptophyta; Magnoliopsida; Cucurbitales; Cucurbitaceae.
ACCCGUCGCCGUCCGUCGUUCUUUUCGCUCUCCACCGUCACCUCCUCCUUCACUUUCACAUCCAUCUCCGCCGCUACCACCACCUCUCCCGGCAACGACAGUCUCAACGACGUCUCCGGUUCUCCUCCUCCAACGCUGUUCCGGUCAAAGCACGUACGCUUCAAAGAAGCUUCCGAGUCAUCAUCAUCGUUAUCAUCGUCAUCCGACGCCGACCUAGAAACUUCAUAACUCGGCCGCUUCAGAAAUGCCGUGGAAUCAGACGACAAGUCGGCAUCACGACGGCGUCUAAGCGUCGAGUUCCAAUGAUUCUUAAUCGCAUUGUCGGUUCGGCCAGGUAACGAGCGAGCAAUAGUGGACCAUUUGUUACCAUGAACAGCGUGCGCUUGAAGAAUCAAAGCAUCCUCCGCUGGAGUAAAGGGACGAUGCUGAACGGUGGGACUGAGCUGAUUACACCAACGCAAACGGCAGGACUUACCGGAACGACCAGGAAUUCCAGUGCUGAUCAAAGACCAAUUUCUGGGGCCAUGCUGUUCAACCAAUUUGAUUAAGGUAGCGUCCUCUUGAGGACUCCACGACCCCUUAACUCGAUUAUGAUUAUUAUUAUUGUUGUUUGAAUUUGUAUUGUUGUUGUGAUUUGGGAGGGCGAUUCCGAUCAAAACCAUGGCGGAAUUUGGAUUUGGAUUUUUAGGGUUUUGAAGUUUAAUUGAAGAAGAAGAAAGAGGAGAGAUAAAUGGGAGAUUUUUCUAACCGUUUCCAAACAGGGGUUGUUGGGCAUGAACCGUAAAACCGCUACUUCAAAUAACGACUUUCUCACUACUUCCACUUCUAACAAAUACACACACCAAAAAACCGCGUUUGUUUCUUUCUUUUCCUUUAACGUCCCUACACUCCUCACUUUUUUCAUAUUAGUCCUCAUCUUUUAUAAUCAAUUCUAAUUUUUCUCUAUAAAUUGCUUCAUUUUUGCAUUUUUAUUUACUGUUUUCUAAAUUGUGAAAAAAAAUGUAUUUUCUUGUUUGAGAUUGUUAGAUUUAAGAUUAAUCAAAGUAUAUAUAACAACUCAACUUGGAUAACUUAAAAAGGAAAGAGACCAAUGACAUAGUAUAUAAAUCUAUAAAUUUAACCAUUUAUUUAUUUACUAUUCAAAUGAAGUUGAAAUACUUUAAAAUUUAAUCUCAACGCUACAGAUUUAUUUUAUCUUGAUCUUUCCAUUUUAAAAAUAUGUAAGACUUUUAUUUUUUAAAAGUUUAGUUGAUGUUAGUUUUUAAAAUUUUGUAGGGAUGAAAAUGAAAAUGGAAAAAGAAAAAAAGGAGUAGGUGGGGAGAGAGGUUUGGAUGAGGGAAAGUAAUGGAAAGACGUAACGGGUAUCCGUUUACAUAGGGAACUGCCAAGGCAGAGUUUAUCGGUGUCACCGUAACAGCACACUGUUGUAGUGAAUAACGUUCAAUUACCAUGCGUGGCUUUCUUGGACUCUUCCUAACCGCUUUCCUAAAUUCUUAUUCUUUUGUAUAUAUAUAUAUAUUCAAUAAUAUUUUAUAAUAUCAACCCUAAAUUCAAUAAUGAAAGAAAAUAGUAUCUAAAAAACUUUUAAUUUUGUGUUUUGUAUUUAUUGAUCUAUUCGAUAUUUC